Molecule: non-coding RNA, 75 nt
Organism: Skermanella aerolata KACC 11604
Lineage: Bacteria; Pseudomonadati; Pseudomonadota; Alphaproteobacteria; Rhodospirillales; Azospirillaceae
Source: Rfam
GGGAGCCGGAUGAAUCGAGAGGUUCACGUCCGGUUCUGGGAGAGCGCGGGGCUGAGAUGCCCCGCGCCACUCACC